UACGUAGGGUGCGAGCGUUAAUCGGAAUUACUGGGCGUAAAGUGUGCGCAGGCGGCCGAGCAAGUCGAGUGUGAAAGCCCCGGGCUUAACUUGGGAAUUGCGCUCGAAACUACUUGGCUGGAGUGUGGCAGAGGGGGGUGGAAUUCCACGUGUAGCGGUGAAAUGCGUAGAGAUGUGGAGGAACACCAAUGGCGAAGGCAGCCUCCUGGGCCAAUACUGACACUCAUGCACGAAAGCGUGGGGAGCAAACAGG
This 253-nucleotide ribosomal RNA is filed under the name uncultured bacterium. Its description in RNAcentral is "partial 16S ribosomal RNA". It matches the Rfam family "Bacterial small subunit ribosomal RNA", at positions 524 to 776 of the family's 1533-position model. The record is from RNAcentral.